CUGGAGGUAUCAGAAGUGCGAAUGCUGACAUAAGUAACGAUAAAGCGGGUGAAAAGCCCGCUCGCCGGAAGACCAAGGGUUCCUGUCCAACGUUAAUCGGGGCAGGGUGAGUCGACCCCUAAGGCGAGGCCGAAAGGCGUAGUCGAUGGGAAACAGGUUAAUAUUCCUGUACCAGGUGUUACUGCGAAGGGGGGACGGAGAAGGCUAUGUUGGCCGGGCGACGGUUGUCCCGGUUUAAGCGUGUAGGUGUGUGUUCCAGGUAAAUCCGGUUCACUUUAACACUGAGGCGUGAUGACGAGGCACUACGGUGCUGAAGCAACAAAUGCCCUGCUUCCAGGAAAAGCCUCUAAGCAUCAGGUAACAUCAGAUCGUACCCCAAACCGACACAGGUGGUCAGGUAGAGAAUACCAAGGCGCUUGAGAGAACUCGGGUGAAGGAACUAGGCAAAAUGGUGCCGUAAC
Molecule: ribosomal RNA, 461 nt
Filed under: Citrobacter amalonaticus
Lineage: Bacteria; Pseudomonadati; Pseudomonadota; Gammaproteobacteria; Enterobacterales; Enterobacteriaceae
Description: partial 23S ribosomal RNA
Rfam family: Bacterial large subunit ribosomal RNA
Source: RNAcentral